GCAGAACGCGAAGAACCUUACCCAGGCUUGAACUGCUGAGAAAACCCUGUGAAAGCAGGGCUUCCUUCGGGAGCUCAGUAGAGGUGCUGCAUGGCUGUCGUCAGCUCGUGUCGUGAGAUGUUGGGUUAAGUCCCGCAACGAGCGCAACCCUCGUCUUUAGUUGCCAGCACGUAAUGGUGGGGACUCUAGAGAGACUGCCCCGGGUUAACGGGGAGGAAGGUGGGGACGACGUCAAGUCAUCAUGGCCCUUACGUCUGGGGCUACACACGUGCUACAAUGGCUGAGACAAUGCGUCGCUACUCCGCGAGGAGAUGCCAAUCGCACAAACUCGGCCCCAGUUCGGAUUGCAGUCUGCAACUCGACUGCAUGAAGCCGGAAUCGCUAGUAAUCGCUGAUCAGAACGCAGCGGUGAAUGAGUU
Molecule: ribosomal RNA, 419 nt
Filed under: uncultured bacterium
Lineage: Bacteria
Description: bacterial SSU rRNA
Rfam family: Bacterial small subunit ribosomal RNA
Source: RNAcentral